Molecule: ribosomal RNA, 226 nt
Filed under: uncultured bacterium
Lineage: Bacteria
Description: partial 16S ribosomal RNA
Rfam family: Bacterial small subunit ribosomal RNA
Source: RNAcentral
UGAGUAACACGUAUCCAACCUGCCGUCUACUCUUGGACAGCCUUCUGAAAGGAAGAUUAAUACAAGAUGGCAUCAUGAGUCCGCAUGUUCACAUGAUUAAAGGUAUUCCGGUAGACGAUGGGGAUGCGUUCCAUUAGAUAGUAGGCGGGGUAACGGCCCACCUAGUCUUCGAUGGAUAGGGGUUCUGAGAGGAAGGUCCCCCACAUGGAACUGAGACACGGUCCAA